Long non-coding RNA from Pseudophryne corroboree (corroboree frog), 1369 nucleotides. RefSeq lists it as uncharacterized. The transcript has 3 exons. NCBI's taxonomy places the organism in Eukaryota, Metazoa, Chordata, Amphibia, Anura, Myobatrachidae. The record is from RefSeq and is a predicted model, not a curated record.
CCAGGCCCCCCAUUGCAAAUAGGCCCACAGGAGUGACAGCAGUGACAGGAAUAAUCUCUUUCCUGUCACAGACUGCCAGCGCCCAUGCUCUCUCCCGUGCAUCUCCUCCUCUGGCUCCAGCACUCACCUGAGAUCCGUGCAGGCAGUGUGGUAGCCGCCCCUCCCCUCCAGUCUCUCCUUCACUCAGGGCCCUGAGCCUGUCACUUACAGGCCCAAGCUCCGCCCCCAGACUGUACAGGGAGCUGCUGCUGAUGCAGGAAGCCUGGCAACGGACGGCGCGGAGGUGAUCAUGUCAUAGCCGGCGGACGGAGACGUGGCGCUCGACUCACCGUGUGCUGGUGGCAGUAAUUCCUACUUACUUAAGAUUGAGAACAUUACCAUGGCAACAAGUACAAUGAUUGUUUUGAAGAGGGGGUUAAAGACGCUUGGCAGCUUGUACAGGGUUAAGUCAAUUCCAUGUGGACCCAUGGCAGAUUAUGAAGCAGUGAAUUAAGUUAGCAGGGACUGCUGAUUGCCUUUGACCAGCACACUGCACCAAAGGCCAUCCAUCACUUGUACGGACAGCACUCAGGAGUGGCAGGAAUAGCAGUGCAGCAGUACUUAGAGCGGACCUGCAGCAACAUUACUGCUCACAAAAUGCUAUUAGUAUCUCAUGUGCAUAUACCGCAGACAAAACUUUUAGCCUUGUCUAGAACAAAGAAGCCCACCUGGUUCCUCCUAGGAGUGGUGUAAAUGAGAUUAUUACUCAGAUAUUGCUUGUGUUGGGAGAUGUGAUAAUCCAAUUAUUUAUUUGGCUAUGGCGGUGACAUUACCUGUAUAGGAAUCUCACCAGUCACUGUAACCCGUUACCCCGUCCUGCACUAGACACCGUCAGAGGUGGAAGAUGGAGAAGGACGCAGGAUUGGGAGCGUCUCAGUCCUUAGGCUUUUUAGACCGUAUGCAGCUGCUUUGGAUGGGUAUGCAUGAUGUGAGCCUGUCAAUCAGUCCAGAAGUAACAAGUGAAAUGUUGAAGUAACCAUCAUAGAACCUACUUACCUGAGGAUCUUCCUAAUAUAUGAUGUACCAUUGUAUACUGCAAUACAAUACCACUGAACCACCUAUAUAAAGUGUCACAAGAGGAGAAGGGGACUAUAUAAAGAAACAUCUCAAAACUCCUAACGUUUCACAGUCUAAAAUGAAAUGGUGAUAGCGAUUCACUGAAUAUUUAUUCUCAAAAAGAUUAAAAAUGUGUCAAGUGUAAUAAAAGGAAAAUAUCUUGUAUCAUAAAUAAAAUACAAAUCACUUCUUCAGAAUGACUUUCUAUUUACACAGGCCAAAUCCUCACAGGCUCAAACAAUCUGUAACGAGCAUGGGGGGUAUUUCCAUUAGA